ACAAGGCACAGCAUUGCUCAAUUCACAAGCUCCGUUGUAUCUGAAUCUCUGUGAAUGGAGAACCUAAUCUCUUUGGUGAACAAAAUCCAGAGGGCUUGCACCGCUUUAGGUGACUACGGCGAAGCUAGUGCUUUGCCCACUCUGUGGGACUCUCUCCCCGCUAUAGCCGUCGUCGGUGGCCAGAGUUCCGGAAAGUCCUCUGUCUUGGAGAGUAUUGUUGGCAAGGAUUUCUUACCUCGUGGAUCAGCUUCACAAGACUGACGAGGGAAGCAGAGAGUAUGCAGAAUUUCAACACCUUCCCACCAUCGCAAAGCUCACCAAACUCAAGUUCCUCACCUUAAAAAAGAGGGGUAUAUUUGUCAUGCAUUUUUAACCUUUUUCACUUAUCCGAUACCCUUAACUAAAACCACCUCUUGAAAUGGCUUCCCCAACAGUGUCGAUAUCUGAUUUUUGCACUUGAGAUUGCUUUGCAGGGGAAACGGCUUUGCUGGGGAAAUUUUCCUCAAAGCUUCAACCAAACGUGAUUGAGUGAGAUUUCCACAUGCACUUACCCACCAAAAUUUCAACUUCUCCCCAACCAAACACUACCUUAAGAUUAAAAAAAUUUAACUGCUAUCAAAUAAUAAAAAAUAAAAAGUUAUUUAGUCAUACUGAAAAUGUGAUUAACUUUGGAAUUUUAACUAAGACAAGGCCCCCACACCUAACAUGGCUCUGCUGCCACAACAAUGACAGACCCAAAAAAUUUUAUUUAUGUCUGCACAUUAAGUGGCGGGGGCUGCCCCCGAAAAUUUUUUUUUGUAAAAAAAAUUUAAAUCAACACUUGAACCCGCUUAUAAUCUAGUUGUUUCCAUAACAAGCUGCAGGCAAUAGUUUGACCAAUUAUUUUUCUCUUAAAUCUUACCAAUCCUCCAAAACAAAAAUGAAAAUAUACUCCGAUGCAUCCAUACAUCAUCAUUCUAUUUUAUAGUGAUGAAUAAAAAAGUCAACACUACCUGUACAGAAGGCAAGCAAAAUCACAGUGAAGACCUCAUCUCUAGAUAUUAACUUAUUUGAAAAUGUCCUCUCUUUUUAUAAAAAUGAAACAGGAAACAAAGGAUGAAGAGAGCAUGGGGAAUGGGUACAUGACAGGGGAGGAAAAAUAAGUUUUCUCUCUAAUCAAUUUGCAUUGCUACGUUGUUUUAAUCAUUUCUGUACGUUGUUACGUUGCUAACUAAUAUAAGAAUAAAUAUCAUUUUUGAUCCCUAACAAAAAAUUAUGUUCGCACUUUAGUCCAUUAUAAAAAAAAUUAGUCACCUGGUCCCAAUGAAAUUCAAAGUGGAUCCAUUUUGGUCUUUUUGAGGAAUUAAUGUAGGUCUUUUUUGAAUUUGUGAGGCACUAUGAUUUUAACUAAAUUGAUCAACUUUAAAUUUUCUAGAGACCUCGAGACUAUUUUUUUUUUUUUUGCAAGGGACUAA
This is a long non-coding RNA of Gastrolobium bilobum, 1454 nucleotides long. RefSeq lists it as uncharacterized. The record is from RefSeq and is a predicted model, not a curated record. The transcript has 3 exons. NCBI's taxonomy places the organism in Eukaryota, Viridiplantae, Streptophyta, Magnoliopsida, Fabales, Fabaceae.